GAUGAACGCUAGCUACAGGCCUAACACAUGCAAGUCGAGGGACCGGCGCACGGGUGAGUAACACAUAUCCAACCUGCCCUUUACUCGGGGAUAGCCUUUCGAUAGAAAGAUUAAUACACGAUGUAAAGAAUGGGGAUGGGUUCCAUUAGGUUGUUGUGGAGGUAACGGCUCACAAAGCCUUCGAUGGAUAGGGGUUCUGAGAGGAGGGACCCCGAGAUUUGAACAGAGACACGUUCCAAACUCCUAGGGGAGGCAGCAGUUAUGAAUCAAGGUGGAGGGGCGUUAGCGUGAAACAGCGAAGUAGCGUGAAGGAUGUAGGGUGAUGGGUCGUAAACUUCUAUUAUAUAAGAAUAUGUAUUAUAUGAAUAAGGAUCGGCUAACUCCGUGCCAGCAGCCGCGGUAAUAC
This 406-nucleotide ribosomal RNA is filed under the name uncultured bacterium. RNAcentral's name for it is "partial 16S ribosomal RNA". It matches the Rfam family "Bacterial small subunit ribosomal RNA", at positions 28 to 526 of the family's 1533-position model. The record is from RNAcentral.